RNAcentral lists this ribosomal RNA (557 nucleotides) under uncultured archaeon. RNAcentral describes it as "bacterial SSU rRNA". It matches the Rfam family "Archaeal small subunit ribosomal RNA", at positions 346 to 903 of the family's 1478-position model. The record is from RNAcentral.
AACUUUACACUGCGGGAAACCGCGAUAAGGGGACCCCGAGUGCCAGCACCUAGUGUUGGCUGUCCUACUGUCUAAAUAACAGUGGUUAGCAAGGGCCGGGCAAGACCGGUGCCAGCCGCCGCGGUAACACCGGCGGCCCGAGUGGUAACCGUCAUUAUUGGGUUUAAAGGGUCCGUAGCCGGCUUAUUAAGUCUUUUGGGAAAUCUGGCGACUCAAUCGUCAGGCGUCCAAGAGAUACUGAUAGGCUUGGGACCGGGAGAGGUGGGAGGUACUCCAGGGGUAGGGGUGAAAUCUCGUAAUCCUUGGGGGACCACCGGUGGCGAAGGCAUCCCACCAGAACGGGUCCGACGGUGAGGGACGAAAGCUGGGGGCACGAACCGGAUUAGAUACCCGGGUAGUCCCAGCUGUAAACGAUGCUCGCUAGGUGUCAGGUGCGGUGCGACCGCAUCUGGUGCCGCAGUGAAAACUUGAAGCGAGUCACCUGGGAAGUACGGUCGCAAGGCUGAAACUUAAAGGAAUUGGCGGGGGAGCACUACAACGGGUGGAGCCUGCGGUUC